UGAUGUUUUAAAGCAUCAAUAUUACACUUACAUGAUUUGGUCCUGUUUGAAAAAUUGCUCAAGGUAUUAUCAGAGGAAGGUGAAGCUGUGUACCUAUUUAUUAAAUUGUUAUUAUUUUUAGGACUUGCAAAAUUUGUAUGUGAAAGAAUUCCUGAUAAAUUUGAAGAAUUUGAACCUGAACCUGCUAGAUGACCAGUUCUGUUCGUGAGUUGAAAAUGUAUUUGCCUAUAUGGGGCCUUUUACAUUUUUCCUGUGAUUUAAUGCAGUUAGGAGAAAGUAUAGUUAAGAUCAUAAUGCAUACACAAUUGCGCAUUCAAGCUUUAAAAGCCUGAAAAAUUAUGCAAUUACUUUUGCAUAAUUGGCUUGUGCUUCUAUAUUUUGUGCUAAAGAUAUUCAAAUCUCUUAUAAUUUAAAAGAAUUAGUGUGAUAGUGUUCACCAAAAGCAAUAUCUUAGCUCAAAAAAAUUUACACUCUUUAUCUGUUUUUGGUACUUUUUGCUAAAUAUAAUUGAAAAAAAAAAUAACCAUCUUUUUCAAAUUGUUCUUAGAAUCAUAACUGGAGUUGACAAGGAAAUGUUAGAUUUUGUGUCUUUUCACUUUGAACUUGAAAAUUUCAUUUUAAUUUGUUCAUUUUAUUCAUUUUCUAGUGAAUGCAUGCAUUACACCAAUUUGUUAUACCAAAAAAAGUUCUGCAGCAAUUCCCAUGAUUGUUACACUGUUGUAACAUGGACCAUAAUUUUGAUUGUGGCUGAUGCUAUGAUUUAUAUCUAUAGAUAGUACACCUAUAUGAUAAACUAUUUAUGCAGGGAUUUUAUUGAGGUGUUUUCUAAUUCUUUUUCUUUCAAGAUAUUUAGAAGUUCUUAUAUAGCAGUUGGCUGGCCAAACUUACCUGCUGGUUUGGCACAUCUUUGGGUAUUAUUCCCAUUAUUAAAAUUGCAUUUAAGCAAUGUGUAUAUCAUAAACUCCUUUGCCUUCUAAUCACUUUGAUUUAAUGGCUUCAUAGCCCUAGGAAAAUGCCAAGUUGAAUCUGAAUUUUUGGGUUUUAUUCUUAGGUUUGGUUUUCAUGUUGAAAUGCAAUGUUCAAGCACAUGUGAAUGUGUGAUUUGAAAAUAAAAUCCAAUUUGAUUGAUUAAUGGGUUUGGAGGUGAUACGAACUUAGGAGAAUCACACCCCAAAAGCUAGCUAUUGA
Molecule: unclassified non-coding RNA, 1188 nt
Filed under: Hevea brasiliensis (rubber tree)
Lineage: Eukaryota; Viridiplantae; Streptophyta; Magnoliopsida; Malpighiales; Euphorbiaceae
Source: RNAcentral